AUAAAUGUCAGGAUAAGGACGCUGUGGGGAAUGCUUUAACAGAGAGAUAAUCACUUCGGUGAAAGAUUGUCGAAAGAUACCUCAGAGAGAUCACCUUUGAACAGGAUUUCUGAAGACUUAAGUUGGCCAUUGGUUAAUUAAGCUUAGGAAAUCCCGGGGAAUCGUUAACUUCAUGGAGUGGGCAGUUUGCUGCCAACUUGGGUGGUACCGCGAUUUUUCGUCCCUUGG
RNAcentral lists this non-coding RNA (228 nucleotides) under Acetobacterium wieringae. Its description in RNAcentral is "T-box". It matches the Rfam family "T-box leader". From Rfam's summary of the family: Uncharged tRNA acts as the effector for transcription antitermination of genes in the T-box leader family. Lineage: Bacteria; Bacillati; Bacillota; Clostridia; Eubacteriales; Eubacteriaceae. The record is from RNAcentral.